Molecule: long non-coding RNA, 295 nt
Organism: Lagopus leucura (white-tailed ptarmigan)
Lineage: Eukaryota; Metazoa; Chordata; Aves; Galliformes; Phasianidae
Exons: 3
Source: RefSeq, a predicted model, not a curated record
UUUAAGAGCUGACUACCAGUGGGGAAGGAUCUCUUCUGGAGAUCUGCUCUGCUGGAGUUUUGUAAAUGAGUCAAGGAUAUGGGGAUCAGAAGAUCCAGGUUGGAGUCACCCUGGGCUCAUAUGAGUGCCAGCCACUGAAGAGAGCGUAUCUCUUGCACCUAGGCUGCUUCCUGAGGAGUGCUGCAGAGCCAGAGAGCGCCUUCUCCAGCUGGGAUAACUGGCAAGCUAAAUUCUAUUCUGCUCUUGACUGCUUUGAAUGUUGCUGCUUGAUGUUCAAGUGACCUGAUUAGUUUCA